UGAGGAAUAUUGGUCAAUGGACGCAAGUCUGAACCAGCCAUGCCGCGUGCAGGAUGAAGGUGCUAUGCAUUGUAAACUGCUUUUGUACGAGGGUAAAUGCAGGUACGUGUACCUGUUUGAAAGUAUCGUACGAAUAAGGGUCGGCUAACUCCGUGCCAGCAGCCGCGGUAAUACGGAGGACCCGAGCGUUAUCCGGAUUUAUUGGGUUUAAAGGGUGCGUAGGCGGAUUAGUAAGUUAGAGGUGAAAGCUCGAUGCUCAACAUCGAAAUUGCCUCUGAUACUGUUAGUCUAGAGUAUAGUUGCGGAAGGCGGAAUGUGUGGUGUAGCGGUGAAAUGCUUAGAUAUCACACAGAACACCGAUUGCGAAGGCAGCUUUCCAAGCUAUUACUGACGCUGAUGCACGAAAGCGUGGGGAGCGAACAGGAUUAGAUACC
This 434-nucleotide ribosomal RNA is filed under the name uncultured bacterium. RNAcentral's name for it is "bacterial SSU rRNA". It matches the Rfam family "Bacterial small subunit ribosomal RNA", at positions 355 to 786 of the family's 1533-position model. The record is from RNAcentral.